GAUGAACGCUAGCUACAGGCUUAACACAUGCAAGUCGAGGGGUAACGAGAGGAAAGCUUGCUUUCCUUGUCGACGACCGGCGCACGGGUGAGUAACGCGUAUCCAACCUGCCCCCAACUAGGGAAUAACCUUGCGAAAGUAAGACUAAUACCCUAUAAUUUCCUCAGAUGUCAUCUGACGAGGAAUAAAGAUUUAUCGGUUGUGGAUGGGGAUGCGUCUGAUUAGCUUGUUGGCGGGGUAACGGCCCACCAAGGCAACGAUCAGUAGGGGUUCUGAGAGGAAGGUCCCCCACAUUGGAACUGAGACACGGUCCAAACUCCUACGGGAGGCAGCAGUGAGGAAUAUUGGUCAAUGGGCGGAAGCCUGAACCAGCCAAGUAGCGUGCAGGAUGACGGCCCUAUGGGUUGUAACUGCUUUUAUACAGGAAUAAAGUUAGCCACGUGUGGUUAUUUGUAGGUUCUGUAUGAAUAAGGACCGGCUAAUUCCGUGCCAGCAGCCGCAGUAA
Molecule: ribosomal RNA, 505 nt
Filed under: uncultured bacterium
Lineage: Bacteria
Description: partial 16S ribosomal RNA
Rfam family: Bacterial small subunit ribosomal RNA
Source: RNAcentral